ACGAACGCUGGCGGCGUGCUUAACACAUGCCAGUCGAACGGAAAGGCCCUGCUUUUGUGGGGUGCUCGAGUGGCGAACGGGUGAGUAACACGUGAGUAACCUGCCCUUGACUUUGGGAUAACUUCAGGAAACUGGGGCUAAUACCGGAUAGGAGCUCCUGCUGCAUGGUGGGGGUUGGAAAGUUUCGGCGGUUGGGGAUGGACUCGCGGCUUAUCAGCUUGUUGGUGGGGUAGUGGCUUACCAAGGCUUUGUCGGGUAGCCGGCCUGAGAGGGUGACCGGCCACAUUGGGACUGAGAUACGGCCCAGACUCCUACGGGAGGCAGCAGUGGGGAAUAUUGCACAAUGGGCGGAAGCCUGAUGCAGCAACGCCGCGUGCGGGAUGACGGCCUUCGGGUUGUAAACCGCUUUCGCCUGUGACGAAGCGUGAGUGACGGUAAUGGGUAAAGAAGCACCGGCUAACUACGUG
This 467-nucleotide ribosomal RNA is filed under the name uncultured bacterium. Its description in RNAcentral is "partial 16S ribosomal RNA". It matches the Rfam family "Bacterial small subunit ribosomal RNA", at positions 29 to 507 of the family's 1533-position model. The record is from RNAcentral.